GACUUCCUGAUCUCACAGACUGUGUUCUUAUACUGACUAUAUAAAAAGAGGAAGCAGAGUAAACCUAUGCCAUAUACACCUCUACACCUCAGGCUAGGCCUUUGUCUGGUCUGUAUUGUGAAUAGGGAGACAUGG
This is a small nucleolar RNA of Dipodomys ordii (Ord's kangaroo rat), 135 nucleotides long. NCBI's taxonomy places the organism in Eukaryota, Metazoa, Chordata, Mammalia, Rodentia, Heteromyidae. The record is from Ensembl.